Molecule: ribosomal RNA, 439 nt
Filed under: uncultured bacterium
Lineage: Bacteria
Description: partial 16S ribosomal RNA
Rfam family: Bacterial small subunit ribosomal RNA
Source: RNAcentral
CUACGGGCGGCUGCAGUGAGGAAUAUUGCACAAUGGAGGAAACUCUGAUGCAGCAACGCCGCGUGGAGGAUGACGCAUUUCGGUGUGUAAACUCCUUUUAUAUGUCAAGAAAAUGACGGUAGCAUAUGAAUAAGCACCGGCUAACUCCGUGCCAGCAGCCGCGGUAAUACGGAGGGUGCAAGCGUUACUCGGAAUCACUGGGCGUAAAGGGCGCGUAGGCGGGAUAUCAAGUCAGGUGUGAAAUCCUACAGCUUAACUGUAGAACUGCACUUGAAACUGGUAACCUAGAGUAUGGGAGGGGGAGAUGGAAUUAGUGGUGUAGGGGUAAUAUCCGUAGAUAUCACUAGGAAUACCUAAAGCGAAGGCGAUCUCCUGGAACAUAACUGACGCUAAGGCGUGAAAGCGUGGGGAGCAAACAGGAUUAGAUACCCCUGUAGUC